CAGGGCCACAGAGGAACCAGACCAUCCCCUCUGGAGACAACUGCCCUGCAGGGAAAACAAAGCUAUUAACAGAAGUGAAACGACGAGGCCUGGCUCCCUUGCAGGAUAGGCUUUGCCCCUUUGGCUAUAGGCCCACAUGAAGAAAAAGACAGACUGAGCACACACAUCCUAAAACACAUGCAUCGAGGUUGGCCUGUGAGAGACUGCAGGAGGGAGUGAAUUCCAGAGAUGAGGAUCUUCCAUCAGAAUGUCCUGCUGCCCAUGCCCUGGAGUUCAACCCCAGGGACAGAGAGCAAGGGCUGUCUUGUGGAACACAACUGUUGUGAUGCGGCAUAGCAGAAGAAGGAAGUGCAGAGGCUGAAGAAAAUGGCAAUGAAGAGAAAGGAAAAUUGACAGACCUUCUUGCCGGAAGUACGGUUUGGUUUGCGUUUGGGG
Long non-coding RNA from Mauremys mutica (yellowpond turtle), 435 nucleotides. RefSeq lists it as uncharacterized. The transcript is spliced from 3 exons. The record is from RefSeq and is a predicted model, not a curated record. Lineage: Eukaryota; Metazoa; Chordata; Testudines; Geoemydidae.